UUUCCUUAAGUUGAAGUUUUUUUUUUAAUAGGCUUAAUUGGUGUGCUGAAGAGAAAAGAAGGCAAGAUGGAAUCAUUCGACUUUUGAACAACAAAGUUAACAGAAAAGAUAGGCACCUCCUCUUUUACAAUUAAACUAAUUGAUUUUUUUUCCAUCAUCUUACCUCUUCUUUAAUGCUAAAAUGCUUGAUUUAAUUUUACUAUUUGUCUCUUCAAGUUUGUUUUCCUUCUGUUUAAGGGACCUCUACAUUUCAUUCACCUUGUCCUCGUUGCAUUUAAUGUUUUAUGCCCUUCACAUAAUACUUCUUCACCCUCUUGCAGUUUCUUUCCUAUUCCCAUAUAUACUCUCUUUGUUUGGUGAAUGCAGCUUCAUAUGCUUCUCACCUGUAACAAAGUAAAGUUCUCAAAUCAAAAGUUUUAAUAAAUCAUAAUCAAAACUUACAACAUAAUAUACCCUACAUUGGUGUUCACUCUGUAGCAGGCUUUCCUAUAAUUGCAAGUUUGAUUUUGAAAACAAUGUGAUGUGUUGGGCAGAUCCAUAGUUUAGGCAUGUAUAAUCUUGUUUUUGGAUUCCAAAAUUAGUAUAUUUUCAUUAAAAAUACUUCUUUUUUUCUCAAAUAAACACAAUGUUUCAGACGAGAUAAUAAUUUUAUGUAAAUAUUACUCUAAUUUAUAUUUAAUUUUAUUAAGGAAAGCUUUACUCUAAUUGGAACUUGAAGGGGGUGUACUGAAAAGGUUGAGCAUUUAUCAGUUAGAUGCAUUAUAUUCAUUUUUCACAAUGUGAGUAUGAUUUUUCUGCAGCGGAUUCACUUUAUACCCCACUAACACCCUUCACAAUCGAAUUGUUUGAUAAGAAUGUGAAUUGUGUUUAGCAUUAGGUUUGUUUCGUAACUACAUUCUAUAACUGAAACAACCACCAAAUAUAAAAUCUUAUGCCUAGUAUGUUGCUCGAAUUCCAGAUCCAUCCUUAAAGGAACCAGAGUGAUGUGCUGUAGUCAAAGGCCCGCAAUUUAAUAGUUAUGCUAUGAACUUUACAACAUUUAUUAAUAACGUAAAUAAAAAAUUUAAUAGCAAAUUCCCAAAAUCUAGAAACCUAAUUCAAAGUAAGAUCGGUACAAUUAGCAUAAAUGUGGAGCAAUAUUAAACAUAUUCGCCCUGAUCGAUGAAAAAAACUAACCUUGACACUCUAAUGCCAGGGAAAAGAGAGGGGCUUGAAUUAAUGCUAACCCCAUUGAUCAGUACUUUCAUUUAUCCAUCUCUGCAACUGUUGUAGAGUGUAAGUUAUUGGAGAGAGAGAUAUACAUGAUGGGUGUAGGAGUAGGAGACCGCCUUUUCAGCAACAAUAUGAAAUUGCAAGUCAGGGUUCAACACCAAACCAUCUAAGAAAUCAGCGAGCACACAAAACGACUUAAUAUUUGAGAAACUUUGAGUUUGUAGAUAUGUUAUUGCAACCAACCGCUUUUUACAAAACCAUCUGAAAAAAAAAGUUUCAACCAGAAAAUAAAAGAUGAAAAAUUAGAAAUCAAAAUGAUAGACACAAUCUGGCUUCAAAUCGAACGCUAACUCACC
RNAcentral lists this long non-coding RNA (1568 nucleotides) under Lactuca sativa (garden lettuce). RNAcentral's name for it is "long non-coding RNA (LSAT_LNC005727)". Lineage: Eukaryota; Viridiplantae; Streptophyta; Magnoliopsida; Asterales; Asteraceae. The record is from RNAcentral.